RNAcentral lists this long non-coding RNA (1542 nucleotides) under Vigna radiata. RNAcentral's name for it is "long non-coding RNA (VRAD_LNC017831)". The record is from RNAcentral. Lineage: Eukaryota; Viridiplantae; Streptophyta; Magnoliopsida; Fabales; Fabaceae.
AAUCAAUAAUCAAAAUAAACAAUUGCAUUAAAUCACUUAACCUCAGAAUCCAUAAUGAAAUUACAGCAGAAUAGCCCUAGGAGUUUAGAAACACAUGAUGAAAGAGUGAAAGCAGUGGUGGAUGAAUGGAUGAAUGAAUGGUGUCCUUUGUGUCUCCCUUGGGUCUCUUUAUAUAGGCUUGAUUGGGCUUGGACUUUGAAUAUUCAGUUGAUAGAAUCUUUUAUCUUAUAUCUUCCAAAUAACUAAAAGAUUUAGAUAAUUAUAACAUUAUUUGGAAGAUAUUUUCUGUUGAUAUUUCCCAAUUAAAUUAAUUCAACAACUGAAUUUUAUCUUUUAGUUUUUCUGACUUUCCAUAAUUGCAGAUCAACUCUUGAUAAUUCCAAUAUUUACACUUCAGCCACUUUUUAAUUCCUGAAAUUGCAAGAAAGCCCCCAGUUGACCAGACCUUUGACCAGCGAAGACCUGUUUGACCAGCUUUGACUCCUGUAGACGUGGCCAAUGAAAGGCAGCCACGUGUCCGCCCCUUCCCACCCAAAUUAGGGUUUCAGAUUAGGGGUAAAGCGAUUUGGGGCUCCAUUCUAUCUUUCCCUGCGCCGCACAAACGGAAGAGAGGUUUCGCUCUCUGAUCUUUACUAUGCAGGUCCGGUGAUGGAGGCAUGGAGGAGAAGCUUGCGACGGCGUCUUUGUGUUGGGAUUGAUCUAGGUGAUUUGGGGUUUUGGGUUGGUCUUUCUGAGUGCAGGUUCGAAGGAGAAGAUUGCGUCGUCCCUGUGACGGUGAUGAUGGCGGCAAUGGUGGUUUGAACAUCGCAAAUCGCAAGGCUUCUGUCGCGAUUCUUGGUUAAGCGAGGAAGAUGGUUCGAGUCUGAGAUCUGUUUGCAGGAGCAUGUUGAUGGUGAUGUCUUCACGGCGGCUUGCUGGAGACGAGAGAACGUGGUGGUGACGAUGGUGGUUAUGGAGGAAGCAAGGUGCGUAGGGAAAAUGGUGAUGGCCGUCGUUGAUGGAGGAUCUGUGGAAGAAGGUGGCUCAAUGGCGAUGCAAGACUGAUGUUUCUAUGGUGGUAUUGGUGAUGGUUUGAUGAUGGACGGCGCAUAAGUCUUUUGCGAGGAGUAUGGUGGCUGGUUCUGCAACGGUUUCUGCGGUGUUGGUGACUGCGAGGAAGAAGAGCGAGGGAGAUGAUACGAAUCGCAGGUUUGUGGCGGCGAUUUCUGGGUUUUCUUGGUACAGGUCCGGUGGCUUGCUGAGGAGAUGGUGCGUCAUUUACGGUGGCCGACGGCUAGGUCGAAGGUGGCGGCUAGGGUUUACGAAAUUAGGGUUUCUGGAGAAGGUGGUGAUGACGUGGCAAGUGGGCUGAGGUGGCAUGUGCUGGUUGGUGCAUCUGGUGUGCAGAGGAUUUGGACAUGUGGCGUGAUCUGGUGAAAUCUAGGGUAGGAGGAGUGUGUAUAGGAAAUUAGGGGUUACGGAUAUAAAAGGCUUAGUGUUUUGGGCUUGGUUGUUGGCCUGGUUUAGAAGAGAGGUGCAUGUAGGGAAAUCUGGGGGUGCAAG